UCCGUAGGUGAACCUGCGGAAGGAUCAUUAAAGAUUCUUGACCUCCAGGUCGAACUCUUCAGCUGUGCGCUUCGGCUGCACGCUGAUAAAACUCACACACCUGUGCACAUUUCGGUCGCAUCCUGCAUGCAGGUUUGCUUCCGCUUUAACAUACAACCACACGUCUCGAAUGUAACAAACUAUAAAGUAACAACUUUCAACAACGGAUCUCUUGGCUCUCGCAUCGAUGAAGAACGCAGCGAAAUGCGAUAAGUAAUGUGAAUUGCAGAAUUCAGUGAAUCAUCGAAUCUUUGAACGCAUCUUGCGCCCCUUGGUAUUCCGAGGAGCAUGCCUGUUUCAGUGUCACGUAAACCCUCACACUUGUGAUGUUACAGUUACAAGCUGUGGAUUUGGACGGUGCCGUAGUUGGCUCGUCCUGAAAAGCAUUAGCUUGCGCUUAUUAGAGUGCUUGGCAUUGGUGUGAUAAUUAUCUGCGCCGUCGCCUUUAUGCCUCUUCGGAAGUGGCUGCUUCUAAUCGGUCCGGCAUGGGGACAACAUUUAACUUGGG
RNAcentral lists this ribosomal RNA (547 nucleotides) under uncultured fungus. Its description in RNAcentral is "eukaryotic LSU rRNA". The stretch from base 192 to 345 matches the Rfam family "5.8S ribosomal RNA". The record is from RNAcentral. Lineage: Eukaryota; Fungi.